RNAcentral lists this small nucleolar RNA (108 nucleotides) under Cephalotus follicularis. RNAcentral's name for it is "Plant small nucleolar RNA R71". It matches the Rfam family "Plant small nucleolar RNA R71". Rfam says of the family: R71 is a member of the C/D box family of snoRNAs containing the C (UGAUGA) and D (CUGA) box motifs. The record is from Rfam by way of RNAcentral. Lineage: Eukaryota; Viridiplantae; Streptophyta; Magnoliopsida; Oxalidales; Cephalotaceae.
ACGGCAUGAUGGGGACAUUUCCUGAUUAGGUCCUUUAAUUUUUCCCAUGACUCAUGGAACUACUCACCAUAUUGCUGAGAAAAGCUAGUGAGAGCUCUUUUUAUCUGU